CCAUAGGUUAAUGAGGCGAACCGGGGGAACUGAAACAUCUAAGUACCCCGAGGAAAAGAAAUCAACCGAGAUUCCCCCAGUAGCGGCGAGCGAACGGGGAGGAGCCCAGAGCCUGAAUCAGCAUGUGUGUUAGUGGAAGCGUCUGGAAAGGCGCGCGAUACAGGGUGACAGCCCCGUACACAAAAGCGCAUGUGCUGUGAGCUCGAUGAGUAGGGCGGGACACGUGGUAUCCUGUCUGAAUAUGGGGGGACCAUCCUCCAAGGCUAAAUACUCCUGACUGACCGAUAGUGAACCAGUACCGUGAGGGAAAGGCGAAAAGAACCCCGGCGAGGGGAGUGAAAAAGAACCUGAAACCGUGUACGUACAAGCAGUGGGAGCACAGGUUUACCUGUGUGACUGCGUACCUUUUGUAUAAUGGGUCAGCGACUUAUAUUCUGUAGCAAGGUUAACCGAAUAGGGGAGCCGGAGGGAAACCGAGUCUUAAUUGGGCGUUAAGUUGCAGGGUAUAGACCCGAAACCCGGUGAUCUAGCCAUGGGCAGGUUGAAGGUUGGGUAACACUAACUGGAGGACCGAACCGACUAAUGUUGAAAAAUUAGCGGAUGACCUGUGGCUGGGGGUGAAAGGCCAAUCAAACCGGGAGAUAGCUGGUUCUCCCCGAAAGCUAUUUAGGUAGCGCCUCGUGAA
Molecule: ribosomal RNA, 685 nt
Filed under: Salmonella enterica subsp. enterica serovar Muenster
Lineage: Bacteria; Pseudomonadati; Pseudomonadota; Gammaproteobacteria; Enterobacterales; Enterobacteriaceae
Description: bacterial LSU rRNA
Rfam family: Bacterial large subunit ribosomal RNA
Source: RNAcentral